RNAcentral lists this ribosomal RNA (506 nucleotides) under uncultured bacterium. RNAcentral's name for it is "partial 16S ribosomal RNA". It matches the Rfam family "Bacterial small subunit ribosomal RNA", at positions 28 to 523 of the family's 1533-position model. The record is from RNAcentral.
GAUGAACGCUAGCUACAGGCUUAACACAUGCAAGUCGAGGGGUAACGAGAGAAAAGCUUGCUUUCCUUGUCGACGACCGGCGCACGGGUGAGUAACGCGUAUCCAACCUGCCCCCAACUAGGGAAUAACCUUGCGAAAGUAAGACUAAUACCCUAUAAUUUCCUAAGAUGUCAUCUGACGAGGAAUAAAGAUUUAUCGGUUGUGGAUGGGGAUGCGUCGGAUUAGCCUGUUGGCGGGGUAACGGCCCACCAAGGCAACGAUCAGUAGGGGUUCUGAGAGGAAGGUCCCCCACAAUGGAACUGAGACACGGUCCAAACUCCUACGGGAGGCAGCAAUGAGGAAUAUUGGUCAAUGGGCGGAAGCCUGAACCAGCCAAGUAGCGUGCAGGAUGACGGCCCUAUGGGUUGUAAACUGCUUUUAUACAGGAAUAAAGUUAGCCACGUGUGGUUAUUUGUAGGUACUGUAUGAAUAAGGACCGGCUAAUUCCGUGCCAGCCGCCGCCGUAA